This 253-nucleotide ribosomal RNA is filed under the name uncultured bacterium. Its description in RNAcentral is "partial 16S ribosomal RNA". It matches the Rfam family "Bacterial small subunit ribosomal RNA", at positions 524 to 776 of the family's 1533-position model. The record is from RNAcentral.
UACGAAGGGGGCGAGCAUUGUUCGGAUUUACUGGGCGUAAAGGGCGCGCAGGCGGCUUUGUUUGUCAGGCGUGAAAGCCCCGGGCUUAACCUGGGAACUGCGUUUGAUACGGCAGGGCUAGAGUUCGGGAGAGGAGCGUGGAAUUCCCAGUGUAGAGGUGAAAUUCGUAGAUAUUGGGAAGAACACCGGUGGCGAAGGCGGCGCUCUGGACCGAGACUGACGCUGAGGCGCGAAAGCGUGGGGAGCAAACAGG